RNAcentral lists this ribosomal RNA (859 nucleotides) under Alternaria alternata. Its description in RNAcentral is "partial 18S ribosomal RNA". The stretch from base 556 to 859 matches the Rfam family "Eukaryotic small subunit ribosomal RNA", at positions 1157 to 1491 of the family's 1831-position model. The record is from RNAcentral. Lineage: Eukaryota; Fungi; Ascomycota; Dothideomycetes; Pleosporales; Pleosporaceae.
UGCUUAAGUUCAGCGGGUAUCCCUACCUGAUCCGAGGUCAAAAGUUGAAAAAAAGGCUUAAUGGAUGCUAGACCUUUGCUGAUAGAGAGUGCGACUUGUGCUGCGCUCCGAAACCAGUAGGCCGGCUGCCAAUUACUUUAAGGCGAGUCUCCAGCAAAGCUAGAGACAAGACGCCCAACACCAAGCAAAGCUUGAGGGUACAAAUGACGCUCGAACAGGCAUGCCCUUUGGAAUACCAAAGGGCGCAAUGUGCGUUCAAAGAUUCGAUGAUUCACUGAAUUCUGCAAUUCACACUACUUAUCGCAUUUCGCUGCGUUCUUCAUCGAUGCCAGAACCAAGAGAUCCGUUGUUGAAAGUUGUAAUUAUUAAUUUGUUACUGACGCUGAUUGCAAUUACAAAAGGUUUAUGUUUGUCCUAGUGGUGGGCGAACCCACCAAGGAAACAAGAAGUACGCAAAAGACAAGGGUGAAUAAUUCAGCAAGGCUGUAACCCCGAGAGGUCCAGCCCGCCUUCAUAUUUGUGUAAUGAUCCCUCCGCAGGUUCACCCUACAACUUAAAGGAAUUGACGGAAGGGCACCACCAGGGGUGGAGCCUGCGGCUUAAUUUGACUCAACACGGGGAAACUCACCAGGUCCAGACACRAUGAGGAUUGACAGAUUGAGAGCUCUUUCUUGAUUUYKUGGGUGGUGGUGCAUGGCCGUUCUUAGUUGGUGGAGUGAUUUGUCUGCUUAAUUGCGAUAACGAACGAGACCUUAACCUGCUAAAUAGCCCGGAUUGCUUUGGCAGGGCGCCGGCUUCUUAGAGGGACUAUCGGCUCAAGCCGAUGGAAGUUUGAGGCAAUAACAGGUCUGUGAUGCAA